RNAcentral lists this long non-coding RNA (1326 nucleotides) under Lactuca sativa (garden lettuce). RNAcentral's name for it is "long non-coding RNA (LSAT_LNC009883)". The record is from RNAcentral. Lineage: Eukaryota; Viridiplantae; Streptophyta; Magnoliopsida; Asterales; Asteraceae.
CUAAUAUUCGAAUUUCGGGCUGUACACUGCUAUUCCGAAACUUCGAAAAAUCAUAACUUCUUCAUACGAAGUCAGAUUUGGGCGUUCUUUUUAUCGAUGUUCUUAGUUUAACAUAUUCUACGACUUUCAUUUAGAUUGCUAAGGCUAAAUCUCUCUCUAUCGUAAAUUCACUAUUUACGCUUUCCGGUAUCGUGCCGGUUCUGUCGCGAAACUUCGACGGGUCAUAAUUUCUUCGUUAUAACUCGGAUUUCAGCGUUCUUUAUAUGUACGGAAACCUUGAGACAUAUUCUACAACUUUAUGUAGAGAUAUCGGGAUUAUCUCACACUUUAAUUUUGACGCUCAUUUUUAUUAUUUAUUAAUUAUACAUUUAUAAUUAAAUUAUAAGCACAUAAAUACACAUAAUUCACAUAAUACUCAAAUAUUUCAUCUUUAUUACUUCAAAAAGAGUUACAAGAGUUGACCUAGACUAUUACAUUGACAAAAAUGCUUAGCCCUGAAACCCGGGCGUUACAAUUCUCUCCCCCUUAGGAUGAUUCCGUCCCGGAAUCAUGCAUCAGCAAACAGAUGUGGAUAGCGACUCAUCAUGUCAUCCUCUGUUUCCCAAGUGAGAUUCGGCCCAUUCGAAUGUUUCCAUCGGACUAGCACUAAGUCGACCAUCUUGCGUCGUAACUUCUUAGUCUUACGGUCAACAAUUGCCUCGGGCUCUUCGAUCAGCCUCUUAUUCUCAUCCAUCCGAACUCUGAGAUUGGAAUUAUGUCAGGAACAUCUCCCGUGAAUUUCCUCAAAUAACACACAUGGAAGGUGUUAUGAAUACCAUCGAGUUCUUCGGGUAAUUCCAGCUUGUAAGCUUGGUUCCCAGUCUUCUGAAGAACUUUGAACGGUCCAAUAAACCUUGGACUCAACUUUCCUCGUUUCCCAAAUCGUAUAAGUCCCUUCCACGGCGAGACUUUAAGCAAAACGGAAUCCCCAACUUCGAAGGUUAUUGGUCAUCUUUUCUUGUCAGCAUAGCUCUUCUAACGAUCCUAGGCUGCUAACAUUCUAACCCUAAUCACCUUCAACUUCUCAGCAGUCUCAUGGACUAUCUCGGGUCCCAUAAACUGCUUCUCUCCAGCUUCAAGCCAACAAGACGGCGUACGAAACUUUUGUCCAUACAAGGCUUGAUAAGGUGCCAUCUUGAUGCUCGAGUGGAAACUGUUGUUGUAUGAGAAUUCUACCAGAGGUAAGUGCUAGUCCUAAUUNUUUCCUCGUUUCCCAAAUCGUAUAAGUCCCUUCCACGGCGAGACUUUAAGCAAAACGGAAUCCCCAACUUCGAAGGUUAUUGGUCA